Molecule: non-coding RNA, 7449 nt
Organism: Rattus norvegicus (Norway rat)
Lineage: Eukaryota; Metazoa; Chordata; Mammalia; Rodentia; Muridae
Source: RefSeq, a predicted model, not a curated record
UCUUUCUUUCAUUCUUUCUUUUUUUGGAAGCAGAAUCUCUCUCACUUUACAGCCCAGAUUGGCUUGGAACUUGAAAUUCCCUGACCUCAGCCUUCCGAGGGCUAUGAUUAAAGCCAUGUACCAUCAUCUGACUUUUCUUUCAGUACACAAUUGCUCAAGCAUUGGUCACUGGUUAGCAGAGAGUGAAAAAAAAUCCCAUUAUUUAUCCUGUCACUCAGAGACAAUAUACAUACAUACGCAUCUAUUCCUAAUGAAAACAGUCAAGCCAGAGGGCUGGCAGAUGGAGACAACGUCUACAAAGUCUUCCCACUCCAAUCCACAUGUGCCUUUGUGAUGUGACUGUGCUCUUUGUGGCAGCAGGAGGUUAUUUCCCUUCCCCUUAGAAGAGUGGGCUGAAUGUUUACUAGUAGGAUGCAUCAGACGGGAUGCGGGUAAGGACGAGUGCCUCGACCUUCGAAAGCCCUGAUGGUUCUGCUCUCAUAGUCUUGGAAUACUGUCCCGGGGUCUCUGAGAAGCUGAUUACUCCAUGAUGGACAUUGUUUCCAAGCUGUUACCUUUAAUCUGCCACAGUGUGGAAUGGAAACCAGUGGACAACUCACAGGAACCAGUUCCUGCUACACAGCUUUCAGUGGUUAACUCAGGAUGUCAGUGGUGGCAGGUGACUUCACCUGCUAAGCCACCUCAUGAUUCUUAUUUACUUUUGAUGUGUGCACCUCUGGGGAGGCCAAAAGUUUGUGCUGAUGUCUUACAUCUGUGUUUCCAGCUUUUUACUCUGUUUUUUCAAACGUGCAUGGGUGUUUUGCCCACGUGUAUGUUUGUAUACAUGUGCCUACUGUCCUCAGAGCCAGAACAGUGAACCGGACUGCCUGGGGCUGGAGUUUUAGGCGCUUGUGAUCUACCAUUUGGGUGCUGAGAAUCAACUUUAGUUAUCUAGAAGAGCAGCAAGUGUUCUAACCACCUAAUCAUCUCUCUAGCUCUGCGUCUUUAAAAUGUACACGGCAUUAUUUGCCGCCUGUGCAUCUACCUGUGAGUGUGAAUGUGCUAUCACGGAACACACACGGUGGUCAGAGAACACUUAAGGGUUCUCCCCUACUCUGGAGUCUGGGCAUCAAGGUCAGGCCACCAGGCUUAUUAUUAGGGAAGCGCUUUUGCCUACUGAGCCUUUUAGAAAUUUCAUCCAUUCAGUUCCUUAUUUCUGUGUGGCACUGCUCAUGCCGGGGUGUGUGUGUGUGUGUGUGUGUGUGUGUGUGUGUGUGUGUGUGUGUGUGUGUGUGUAAGUCCUGGAGGGGUUGCUUUACUCCUUUCUCCACGUGGGUCUGUAAAAGUAACUUCUCUUUGCCUGAAUUAAUUGUCCUCUCCGGCUUACUGUCUCUAUCUGCCAACCUCGCUCAGCCCUGGCAGCUUCUAGCCUCUGUACAGUCUAAUCCAGGUUAGAGACUUGCUGCUAAGUAAGCUCACCCUUCCGAGCUCUUUCUGAGCUUUGGCUUAAUGCUUUAACUCAGCGGUCUUAGCUCAAAACUCCUCUCCAUGCUGACUGACUCAAUCCAGCCUCUCCCUGCUUCUUACUGAACUGGUCUCAGACUAGCGGUCUGUUCUAAUACUUUGGCUCUUUCUCAUUCAUUCUUUCCCAGUGUCUAGCUUGUUCUUUCUUCAACAUGUCUUUGUAAACCUCUCCAGGUAAACCUGUCUCCUCCUGUCUCAUGAGAGUUGGGCAUAUUCUAUGCAGUCAAAUUUUUCUCUGAUUCCACACUUUGCCACUCAAUUAGACAUCACUUUUUUUUUAGUUCUUUUUUUCGGAGCUGGGGACCGAAUAGACAUCACUUUUAAACUAAACAUUCCCUCUACAAACUAACUUUACCUUCACUGUUUGUCAUUAAAGGUGUGUGCUAAGGGUGAGGCACACAACUAGAAAUAGUUUUUUCUUUCUUUAGUAAAUAACACAAUCUUAGGAUUACAGUGUGAUCAAAUAUCCUGCAACAGGGUCCCAAGACUGACCUUAGGUCAACAGGCUUGCAGCCUUUAUUUGAUGAGCUAUUUCACAGCCCCCCAAGCACGUGUUGUUCAUAUGCCUGGAUUUUUACCUGGGUUCUGAACUCAGGUCCUCAUGCUUGUUCAGCAAGUUACAUAACCAACUAAGCUAUUUCCUCAGCCCACAAGCCAUCACUUUGAGACUAUUCUGGCGUAUGUUUCUGAGUGAUCAACCUAUGAUCCGCUCCCCAUGCAUUAUCACGACAGACCUGCUGCAAAAGAAAACGUGAUGCAGCAGAUGCAGAGCAGUGCCGAAUCUUGACACAUCUAAGCUUUGCUGCUCUUUCACGAUCCAUGCAGGCUUCAUGUUUUACUCUACUUUGCUCUGCUUUUCAAAAAUAAAACAAAAAAAAAUCAAAACAAUAACAAAAACCAGUUCUAACUUGCUUACAAUAUAUAUAGUAAUGACAGUAUCUCUCAUUAUAAAACUUAAAUCUUUACUAAUUUCAGCUUUAAAAUGCUUUAGGGGAAAAAAAAUAAACAAUCUGAAAUUUCUGAAAUUAAGUUACCUGAAGGACAGCAAGGGUUUGGAGUGAUCUAGUUCCGAUCUGUCCACAUGGAUUCCCAGUGUGGAGUCUAGGCGGUAGUAAUUCAGGAUACCUGCUUCUGCUCGGAAACCCUGAAAUCCACAGGCAGUGGCGACUUGCUCUGAGAGGAAAGCCAGGUCAGAAGGGAAAGGUGUAUAAUGAUCUGCUGAGUAUUUCUUUGGUAAAAGUAGAGAAAAUAGGAAAAAUGAACAACGAUCUCAGAACAUAGGAAAUCGUGGAAUGAAGUCCUUUACCUUACUAACUACUGCUCACACAGGUGCCCAUCAAUCCUACCCAUUCUCUCUUGAGGAAGCACUGGCAACCCAGCUCUGGCUAGCUGGAACCUGUUAUACACACUGGGCCAGUGUUGUAGCAAGCGAUCCUUCUGACUUUGCCUCUUAAGUGCUGGGAAACAAGUGUGUGCCCUGAUGCCUGGCUGGGAAUCUGCCCCUCGCCCCCACUGAGAAAAUAUAGAAAUCUAAUAACAAAACAUUCACUGUACUGAGCACCACUGCAUGACAGGCGCCAUUCAAGGCAGUGGUAAGUCACACAAAUUCACUUUUUGACAUAUGUACAGAAGCAACUUCUCUUCCACCCUAGCAUAUUUGAAUCCUAAGCAGGAUAAGUCCCCUUAAGUUAAAGGCAACUCAGGGCUGUUAUGACCCAGAGAACCUAAGGAACAAGAUAAUUAAUGAAAAGUGCCCCAAUAAACGAGACACCCCAGAAACAGAAAAGGGUAUUAGUUAAAAACAAAGGAAAUCAGAAAGAACUACACCCUUCACUACUAUUGUGGAUUACUGAGACAGAUACUUUAUUGUCAGAAACAACUGGGCAUGGCAUCUUGUACUAUCAUCUCAAAUUUUUGUAUAUGUGAACAUUUGUGUUAAUAUACUGAUUAUAAUGUGUUUCACUGUGACAUUUCCAGAAAUACUGUGCAGAUCUGCAGGGCGGACGCUCCGCUGCCCUCACUUCUUCCUGGGCUAAAUUAAACUAAAAUCCUAACCAAACACGUUUGUCUUACAGCUCCACUAGUGUUCUGGUGCAGUCUAGUUGGAGCAAGUCACAAAAUUAUCAAGAGUGGAACCAACUGUACGCACAAAACUGCUUUUCUGUAGAUGGCUUUUCCUCUUUGGUUGGAACUUCGGUCUCUGUCUCUCUUCUUCCUUUUUUAGGUUUUUUUUUUUUUGGUUUUUAUGAGUCAGGGUUUUCUCUGUGUAACAGCCCUAGCUGAUCUAGAACACAUUCUUUAGACUCUUGUACUCAGAGAUCUGCCUGCUCCUGUCUCCUCAGUGCUAGGAUUAAAGGUGUGUGCCAUUCUUAAAAUGGAAGGUUGUUGUUAGAGACACCAAGGUGUCCUGUAUUAUUUAGACAAUCAGGGCUGCUGUCUAGCAUCACCGCUUGGGACCUUCAGCCACAUCCAUACAGUCUACACACUGUUCUCCUUUUUUACUGCCUACUGUUUUCUUUGAACAUUCUUGUAGUUCUUAGUAAUUCUCAAUUCUCAUUUUCUUAGUAAAGAAGGGUUAACUCUAGGGUUGGGGACUUAGCUCAGUGGUAGAGCGCUUGCCUAGCAAGCACAAGGUCCUGGGUUCGGUCCCCAGCUCCGAAAAAAAGAAAAGAAAAGAAAAGAAAAAAAAAAGGUAACUCUGAGGUACAGGAUUAGAGCAAAUGAAAAUAUCAUUAUAUGCACUGACUGGCUUUUGUCAGGAUAGCUAACUGCUUAGAACAGUGAGGUACUGCCUGGAGCCUUCACAGGCAUCAGUCAAUCAAUUGAUCUACACCUUUACUAACAGUAGUUUAUGUGUAUGGCUGUUUUGCCUGCACACAUGUCUGUGCACCAUGUGUGUACUUACUGCCCAGAAAGGCAAGAAGAGAGCAUCAGAUUCUGUGGUGGAUAUGAUGGAUCUGAGCUACCAUAUGGAUGUUGGAAAUUGAAGCUAGGUCCUCUGUAAGAACAAUAGAUGUUCUUAACCACUGAGCCACCUCUCCAUCUCCUAAUUUAAUCUUCUGACUGUUAUUACAUAGACCACACUGGACUGAACCUAGUGCGCCUCCUGUCUCAGCCUCUUAAGGUCAGAGGUAGGACUAGAGGUAUGUGCUUCCAUUAUCACUCUCCAAGGAGAUGUAAAGGAGGCAAUAAUCACAGCCCUGCCUUUAAAUGGUACAUUCAUGCUCUUGACAGACUUUGCUAUGGCUGUGGUAUUUCAUGUUUGUUCAGGAACAAAUCCAACCACACAGGGCUAAGAACCUAUAAAUGUACAACAGGAAUAAAGCAAAUACCUUACUGUCCCAGUUAUAAUGGUAGCCCAGAGUGACCCAGCGCAGUCUCUCUAGUAAACUUCGGGGUCUCCGCUUAGUCUUGUCUUUAGACCUGCAAAGAUAGUAACCAGGAGAAUUCAGUCUUAAAUGGCAGCAACAGUCCUCUCUAUGAACCCAAGUCUAUGCCUUUAGCCUAAGCCGUUAGCCACGGCUGGAUAAGAAAGCUGACGGUAAGAGAAUGAAGACUGGAACUGAGAUUUUUGUUUACUUUUGUUUACAUAUACUAUGUAGUCCUGCCGAGGCUUGCACUCAUAGGUAAACAAAGAUGGCUUCAAAUUUAAGCAAUCUGCCUGCUUUUGCCUCCUGAAUGCUGGUAUUUACAGUGCACAUUGCUGUUCCUAGCUCAGAAUAGAAAUGCUAGAUUUAACCUAAAUUCAAAUCUUUAUCCAUUUACCCAAAAUAUUUUCAGUAUUUUCAAAAGUGACAGCCCUAACACAGCAAACAGAAACACGCUCUGCGCUCUGCCCUUGCUGCCCCUCCAGGCAUUAUCAGGAUGAUGUACAGGCAGACUGGCUGCCCUCUCCCCUGGUCUAUGCGCUUCCACAGCAGCUUGCUGUCUCUGUCAUGGCUAAGAGUGUAUGUAAGUAUAGCCAUUUUUCUUAGCAACCAAGUUAUAAUAUAGCUUUCAUGAGAACCCUAACUAUAAGGAAAUGUACUGGACAGCUGCAGUGGGCAGUCUGGGCUACAUAAGCAAGCAUUCUAUUUUCUUUUUUCUUUAUAAAAAAUAGCCGUGUGGUAAGGGUGGUGGUGCACCCUUUUAAUCCCAGUACUAAGUAGGCAGAGGCAGACAGAUCUCUGAGUUCAAGGACAGAGUUCAUAAGUUUUAGGAUAGCCAGGGCUUCAUCUCAAAGAACCAAACAAACAAACCAACCCACCCACCCACCAACCAAACAACAGUGGUAAAUCAUUGGGAAGCCACCAACGGAGCCAGAUCAGACUAAGUUUUUUUUUUAAAGAUUUUACUUAUUAUGUAUACAAUGUUUUGCUGUAGGGCAGAAAAGAGCACUGGAUCCCAUUACAGAUGGUUGUGAGCCACCAUGUGGUUGCUGGGAAUUGAACUCAGGACCUUUGGAGGGGCAGCCAGUGCUCUUAACCACUGAACUCUCUCCAGCACUAGACUACCUAGGUUUUAUAGGCAACAAUUUCAGAUUUAUAAAAACACGAUGGUACUGGGCACAGUGGUUCACACCUUUAAUGUCAGCACUCAGAAGGCAGAUACAGGAGGAUCUCUGAGUUCGGGGCCUGAUCUGAUCUACAUAGCAAGCUCCAGGACUACAAAGAAAGACAUUACAUCAAAACAAAUAAACUAUGAUGGUGCCAUGUUGGGGUUGGUCUUGUGCACUGUGUAUUCAGUUGCUGACUUCUGUGCCCACAUAUCUGGUACAGUUUGGACAUUAGCACUGUCAUGAUUAUCAAACCAUUCCCUCUAGAAUUAUCUCUGGUUAAUAAAGAAGUUGCUCAGCCUAUGGCUGGGCAGAGACAGGAAGCCUGGACUUCUGAUCCCAGGGCCAGGGAAGUCAGAGGACCACGAGAGCAAACACAAGGACACACAUGGACUAGAGCAAGCUAGGGCAAGGCAGGUGUCAAGUCACAGAGCUUUAGAGGGAUAGAAUAACUCAGAACUUGCCCAGCCUAGGCUUGUAGCUUGUUAAACUUAACAGGUCUUUGUAUCAAUUAUUUGGGAGCUAGAGGGAAACUGAUAAGUUCAUGCUUAAAUUAGUCUACAGUAUCAUAAAACAAAGAAUUUGAUUAGUUCUUUGUUCUGGUUCUAAAAUAGAAAUUUCUUUUAAGUUCUUGGUCCUGGGGAUGAAACUCAAGAGUCUGCAUGCUAGCCAAGUACUCGGUCAUUGAUCUACACCCACUCCUAACUUUCAGAAUUUCCUGACAGCAGCCCCACUGUUAAUCACAGUGGGCUCUUGCAUCACACCUGGGUUUAUGCUAAGGAGUAAUGAUGAUUCAGGAUAUUUGCUGGUAAUCCCACAAAAGCCAACUGUGUGAUUAGAGGGGCGAGGUUUAAUGUUAAGUGGUAUUAGCUGGACUUCCAGAAUGGGUGUAGCUUUAAAACUGAAUUGUCACGUGGCUAAUGCCUUGUAUAUAUUCACGUGUAAUGCCUGUAUGUGUGUAUGAGCAUGCCCUUGGAGGCCAGAGGCCAACUUGGGUGUCAUUUCCAAGAUGUCUAUCUUGCCUUUACCUAACAGGGGCUUCCUGAUUAGACCAGCAGGUAAGCCGCAGGGCUCUGUCUCUCUUUUCCUAGCACAAGGAUUACAAGUAAGCGCCCCCAUGUGGUCUGUUGUGGGCGGGUUGAUUCAGAUCCUUAAGCUCCUGUGACAAGACAUUUUACCAACUAAGCUAUCUCCCCAGUCUUUGUAUCAUGGCAAGGCCAUCCCUGUCUCCCCCAUCCCCCUCAACUAAAACACAAUAAAUCACAUGGGUUAUGGGGAACUGAGCUGGUCCAUGUUCUAAAAAGGAAAAACUUUUCUUGGAGUCAUCUCCCAAGCUCAAACGGCAAAUGUUUUGCUCAGAGAAUUAUCUUUUUUUUUUUUCUUUUCUUUUUUUUCCGGAGCUGGGGACCGAA